Molecule: ribosomal RNA, 410 nt
Filed under: uncultured microorganism
Description: bacterial SSU rRNA
Rfam family: Bacterial small subunit ribosomal RNA
Source: RNAcentral
CAGCCGCCGCGGUAAUACGUAGGGUGCGAGCGUUAAUCGGAUUUACUGGGCGUAAAGCGUGCGCAGGCGGCCCGUUAAGACAGGUGUGAAAUCCCUGGGCUCAACCUAGGAAUUGCGCUUGUGACUGGCGGGCUCGAGUACGGUAGAGGGGGGUGGAAUUCCUGGUGUAGCAGUGAAAUGCGUAGAGAUCAGGAGGAACACCGAUGGCGAAGGCAGCCCCCUGGGCCUGUACUGACGCUCAUGCACGAAAGCGUGGGGAGCAAACAGGAUUAGAUACCCUGGUAGUCCACGCCCUAAACGAUGGGGACUAGCCGUUUGGUGCGCGAUAGCGCUGAGUGGCGAAGCUAACGCGUGAAGUACCCCGCCUGGGGAGUACGGCCGCAAGGUUGAAACUUAAAGGAAUUGGCGGG